GGGAAGAUAGUUCAGUGGCAGAACAUCAGAUUGUGGCUCUGAAUACCCGGGUUCGAUUCCCGGUCUUCCCUC
RNAcentral lists this transfer RNA (72 nucleotides) under Trypanosoma equiperdum. RNAcentral's name for it is "His transfer RNA (gtg)". It matches the Rfam family "tRNA". Rfam says of the family: Transfer RNA (tRNA) molecules are approximately 80 nucleotides in length. Their secondary structure includes four short double-helical elements and three loops (D, anti-codon, and T loops). Further hydrogen bonds mediate the characteristic L-shaped molecular structure. tRNAs have two regions of fundamental functional importance: the anti-codon, which is responsible for specific mRNA codon recognition, and the 3' end, to which the tRNAs corresponding amino acid is attached (by aminoacyl-tRNA synthetases). tRNAs cope with the degeneracy of the genetic code in two manners: having more than one tRNA (with a specific anti-codon) for a particular amino acid; and 'wobble' base-pairing, i.e. permitting non-standard base-pairing at the 3rd anti-codon position. RNAcentral also lists the same sequence under 1 other name. Lineage: Eukaryota; Euglenozoa; Kinetoplastea; Trypanosomatida; Trypanosomatidae. The record is from RNAcentral.